GCACUUUCGUGAAAGAAGUCACCUUGUACAAAUGAGUACUUGGGGUUGUGUGCUUUCAUCUAGCUGUUUUAUUACUUCCAGGAGGUAUGUAAUCCAUUUGUUGAUAAGAUCAGUUUGAUAACCUCUUUACUAUCAAGGAAACAAAGAACAGAAAAGCUUUAUAAUAAGAAUCCAUAUAUUAAAACAAAGCUUGUAUAUUUCCUUUAAUAUUAUUAUUUUAACAUAUUGCUUUUUUAUUUUUGUUUUCAUAUUUUGCCUGUAUGUUGUCUUUUUUGGCAUGUUUCAGGCUAUUACUUUGUAAGUGUUGGAAAAUGUACAUUUCUUUCCAAGCCAGUUUUGUCACUGGAGGCAACUUUGGGGUUAAACCGUUCAUCAGUUAGAUGAUGUUGUUUUGGUGCCUUCAGUGUCCCUUUAAGAGAACAUUCGUAGCUCUGCAAUAAUAUAUGCGCUUUGCAUAGGUUAUGGUGUUGGGAGGUCCCAUCUCCCUGUCUCUCUGCAUUUGCUGUAACUAUAACUUUAACGCCACCUUCUUAGUGAGAGAUAUCCUUAGAGCAGGGGUAGACAGUCGCUGGCACUCCAGAUGUUGUGGACUACAACUCACCUGAUGUCUUGCCAGCAUUGUAGAUAUAAAGAACAACAUGGAAGAUGUAGUCCAAAACAUCUGGAGUGCUGAAGGAAUCUUCCCCACAUACUGUGUCAGGAACCAUCAUAGCUCAUUGUGAAGGAAUGUCAGCCGUAGUCUAAUGCAUGCACAGACACACUAUCACAUCUAAAAGCUGGCAAACUGUGAGUGGAGCUUACAUCAAGCCGAUAUUAGACAGUGCAGCUGCUGUCAGCUUAGGCAGAAAUGUUGUUUAUCCUUUGCAAUUAAAGAAAUACUAUAGUGUUAGGUAUAAAAAUCUUUAUUACUAACACUAUAAAACUACAAGGCUUUACAUUUCAGGACUAAGGGCAAUAGGGGCACUGUACUCAGACCACUUCAGUGAGCUGAAGUGGUCUUGGUGUCUAUAGUGUACCUUUAAAUAAAUGUGACAGAAAUGCUUGCUGCUAACGUUUUUAUGGGGCAUUAUUAGUUCACUUAAAAAUAUAAUAACUCCGAAAGAGAUGGAGUCAAAUGUAUUGAAGCACUCUUCCAUGGACAAUAUGCCUUGAGUACAGUUCGCACCGUAUGUGUGAGCUUGGUGAUGCUCUCAUGAAAUGCUUGUUACCAACAUUUCUCUGGUGGCCAUUUUUUAGGGUCAAUAACCAAAGGAGUGGGACCCAAAUUCAGGAAUAUCCAGUAAGAGGUGUGGAACAGAACACAAAUUUCAGGGAUAUUCAUAUAUUCACCCACAAUUCUGGAUAUAAUUUUCAAAAAUACAUAUUUUAUCAAAUGUCAGAUCUAGAAAAGUAUAUAACCCUGCAUGUUUUUGCUGUUGAUGGGUGGAAGAAAGUUCAGUAUAAUGCAAAGGACUUUGGAAAGUACUUCUGCUGAGGCAUCGUUUUAUGGGGUGUAAUAAAAGUAAUGAUGUCCUUACUCCUCUGGCCAUUAUAAUGCUGUCCAUAGUAUGGAUCACACAUUUCCUGUGUUUUAAAGAGCUACUCUUACGUGCAGUGGUGUUUAAUAUGAAAUGCUCUGACCAAUAUGUAGGGAUCUGUUCAAAGUUUGCAGUAUUCUUUGAAAUAAAGUCUCUUACACAUUUAACUUUUUGAGUUAAUAUUUAAGUAAUACAUCAAGCACCAUAACCACUACAGACUACAAUGUGCUGUAGUGGUUAUCGGGAUAUACCAUUUAAGUAGUCAAACUGGUAACAUUUGGCUUCUUACCUGAGGUAAAAACUAAUCUCCCUCAGCCAAUGAGCUAAGCCCUGCACUGCUGGGUUUAGCUCAAACCUGAGAACCUACAGCGAAGAGGAGGCAGGUAGUGGCACCCCAGGGUACUCCAUCUCACCAUAGUGUUUAUGGCCCGUAAAAAUGAACUAAAAAAACUGUAUCGUUCUAUUAGAAAGUUAUGGGAAAAUGGAUGGAUGGGCUUUUGGUACAGACGUGUAGCUUUGCCAGUAUGUCCACGACCUGAGGACACUGUUUCUCUUUUGACAGGGAUAAACAUUAAUGGCAAUAGCUCUGCAAGCUAUUCUGCAGUUCAAAGAUUAUAAAGGAAUAUAUCAAUUUGACUCUUACCAGUGUGUGUAUAUUCAAAUCAAUGGGGAUCCAUCAGAGGUGCACAGAGAUCCAAUUUGGGUCCCAUGCAGAGAUUAAUAGGAACCAUCACUUCUCUUGAAAUUGCGCCAUUGAGUAAAAGAGUCAGGUUUUUGUGAUGCUAUGUUUUCUUUCUAGACUAUAUUAAAGAUUUACCAACUGACAUAAUCCAGAUCACACUGGCACAGCCAGGGCACACAUGGCAUUGGAGUCAUAAAAACAAUCUUAUUUUGUUUCUGUUUCUUCACAUACUCUGUUGAAUGACAGAAAAAGGCAGAAUUUACAUGGCUGGCUGAAAAGGUUAGCGUAGAGGCACGCGGAUAGCACUAAAUAAAGCAGUAGAAAUGUCUAUAUUACAUUUUAUUUUACCUCUUAUACAUAGUUGUACAAUAUAUGAGAGAAGUGAACGUAGUAUUAAAAAUCUAAAGAAGUGACCAGUUCCCAUUUAAUAAUCAGUGCAUACUUCUGUUAAUUUUAUUUUGUUCAUUACAACAUUGAUACAUAGAAACAUAGAAUGUGACUGCAUAUAAGAACCAUUCGGCCAAUCUAGUCUUGUUUUGUGUGUCUUUUCUAGAUUUCUGUGUUAUUUAUAUAAGUACUAAAUAAUUUGUGGUGAGAUCAAAUGUGAUAAAACUCCCCACUGCUUAGCACAAAUUCAAAAUUUACUAUAUAAAUCAUCUGUAUAUCUCAAGUAGGACCUGGGGAAAAGUCUGCCUUGGGCACUGUAAUUUCAAGAUGUUAUGUUACUGCAAUUCUUCCCAGAUUGACAUGCAAAGGAGUAUUGAUAUGCAUCAUAUUUCAGACAUCAUUCUGCAUUUCUGCAGGCAUUCUUGGGAAAUAAGAACUGUUUGUGGGUUUUGAUCCAAAUGGACCAGUUUCCUGGAAUUACCUUUCCCAAAGGAGAACUCAGAUAUGUAGACGAUGCACAACCAUAAAUUCUGAUUUUGCCUAAAUCCUUGUGGAGUUUUAUUGUUUGGUCUCACCACAACAUAGUUGAUACUUAGCUAUAUGCUGACCGAAAGACUUCGAAUCCCUGACCAAACCCAGCACCACCCUGACAACACCCAUGGUUGGUUUCUGUCAUUGACCAUUUUGGAUCACAGCCCAUGCUAUGGUAUAAAUAGUUGCAUUUGAAUCAAUACCUAAUUGUUAAGGGUGUCUACAGAAAUGCAGGGUGUCUGAAAACACAAUGCCUGUCUUUGUUGAUCAAAACCCACAAGCAUUUCUUAUUUCCCAAGAAUGCCUGGAGAAAUGCAGGAUGAUGUCUGAAAUAUGAUGCUUAUCAAUGCUCCCUUGCAUGUCCAUAAAUAUGUGUUUAUGUGAUCCAUAAGGAAAUUGAUUAUAAUAAAAGUAUUAUAAUAAAAGUUGACAAUGGUUGUGCUGGUGGUUAAGCCUGUAAGAAAGAGAGCAAAAAUGAUAAAUGCUAAAUGUUUCUAUAUUUACAUAUAUGAACAAUGGUCUUAAAAGCAUGCCUAAUUUCUAGCUCUGGCUGAGGUAUGUACCUACAGUAGGCAGAGGACUUCCAACAGCCCAUCUUCUUUAGGAUUCUGCAAACCAUAUCUUCUGGAAGACUGGCUUCCAUUGUAUUGUAAUCUAGAUGAAUACCUAGAAAAGUAAUAUUGUUACAGGGACCCUGUUUUCUCUUCCGAAAUGGAGAACACGGUUCAUUAAACAGAUUAACCAUAUCAUUUAAACUGACAGGAGUGGUAUUAUGUUUCUCAACUGUUAAGUUGUCUAAGUAGUAAAUGACUAUUGGGCAUCUGCAGUUAUUAGGAAGGAGCCAGCACAGUGUUUCGGCAAAAAUGUCAGAGAUUUGGACUGCUUUUUGCCACAAAUGUAAACCUGGUAGCAAAAAUAUACUGAUUCUUCCACUUAACCACAUGCAGAUGCCUCAGGGAAGGGUGCAUGUGUAUCGUAGUAGUAUGUGUAUGUAUGUAUUUGGUAGUAGUUUAAAAGAGCUGGGUAUGUUGGUUUUACUUAACCAGGCGCUGUGACCUGUGCCAUAGAUGGCUUUAAUUGUGUCAUCCACUUUUGUGUAUUGUAAUGAGAAGUCCUCUGAAAGUAUGAGGGAAUUUAAACUAGGUGUAGUGGAAGAGUGAGGAGCUGAUAAAUCGAUUAUUAGUCUCUCUUUUUUUUAAUUGAAUUUACUAGUGGUAACGCCAAGAUGGCUAGUCCUCCAAUUGGAAAAAGAUGGUUCUUGAAAUGGGCAUAUCAUAAAACCUUUCUCUAGUUUCUUGUUUAGAAGCAGGUUAACUAAUUGGCACUUGUUGGUAGCAGACUGGAGAUUGGCACACUCAAUAGUACUUGUAGCGAGGAAUACUAAACCUGUGUGGAACCCAAAUGAAAACCCUGAAAUCAAAAAUUCCACCAAAUGAGGCAAAGGAUGGUUUGCCAAGCAAAGACUCAGCCUGUAAAUAUUCACUGAAGAUAGUUACUGUUUUGGGAACAAACAAUUAGGACACAUGGUUUUUGCAUGGACCCUGAAACACAAGGACCCACAUCCCCCUGCAUUGAAGUUGUUGAACACUUGUGCUUUUCCUAGGAAGACAAAGGGUCUUUAUCCUUCAACUCUUCUUGGACAGGUCUAAAUGUUGGAGCUGUCGGAGCCUGACUAGUAGAGGGGAGGCUGGCUUUAUUGAGGUAAAGAUUAGUGGAAUGGGUAGUGGAAAUACAUAUUGCACACACUGGUUCCUUGAGCCCCGCAAAAUGCAGCAAAAAAUUCAGUAUCAAGUUGAUCCCUAUUGGUUUUAAUGUUUAACUGGGACAUCGCAGCUGGUGCUCUAGCUGAAAAAAAAUGUAUGGUAGUCCUAAAAAAGGAAUAUUUGUGCCAUAGGUCUACCAGAUUGUGCAUAUAUAAAUACAAUUCUUCCCUGCAGUGGGCAUAAUCAGAGCAAAUCACAUCUCCUAAAAGACCAAAGAGCAAAACAAAUUCUAGGAUAGCAACAUUUUUGUUGAGCCUAAGGUUCCUUGCUUUCAUCACUACUGAGAGAUGCACAGACGUAUAUGACUUAUUGCCAAUUACGUCUUGUGAUUCUAUGAGAGACACUAAAUGAACAUCUUUCCCUUCUAAGAUGUCUAUCUGUAUGGCUAGUGGGACUAGGUGAGUGAGAGUGACAAGAUGACUUAUGUUUGGUUAGUUGCAGAUGAUGUAUAACCCUGGUAAUUAUUGCCUGAAGGGGGAGCAGAUGGUAGAUAAACUGGAGCUGAUAAUAGGUCUGCUAGGUUGGCGGACUCCAAAGUCUCAAGUCUAUUGUUUAUUGUGUUUAUGGAUACUGCUACUGAAGAAAUCAUGGCAUGUAGCUCUGUCAGUUCUGUUGGACAGUUCAUUCCUCACUGGACUCUGGCCUUGACCAGAUCUCAUCAGAUCUCAACCCUUGUUGGGAUCUCAUCAGCUGGAAUAAUUCAGCUUUUUUUGCCAUGGCUGUGUAUGCAAAGUUUCUGUGUUUUAACUCUGCUUUAAUUCUACACAUCAGACAUGUAGUGAGUAGUGAUUACUCUGUCAUUCUAUAGAAAAUAGUGUGAACUGGUUGGCUAAUUAGUACCAAGUGACAAAAUGACAUUACUAGUAUGUGACAAGUGAGACCCUACUAGUUGCCAAGCAUCUAGAGAGGCUCUAUCUAUAAGUAUGAACCAAGGGGCGUUGAGGUCACAAAUGUCGUGGCGGGGUGUUGGCCUCUCAGUUAUAAUAAUCAGAUUUCAAGACAGAUUGAGUGUGAUUGUUGGGGCUCUGACUAUACUAAUUGGAAUAUCUAAAUGAAUACAUAUUAUAUCAUUUAAAGUAUAUCUAGGAAUUCUACUAGACCUGUAACCGCUGUAAUUUAAUGCAGAGUCAAUACAUACCUUACUGUAUUUAUGCAAAGAAUGGGAAGAUGCACCUAAUAUUGUAGGAUAAAUUUAAAGUUAACUAAAGUAUAGAAAAUUAUUGGGAGAGCAGAAAUAAUAAUAAAUUGGUUUGGAUUAAUUGAAUAGAAAUGAAAAAUAGAUACCAACCUACCGAUAAGACUUGAUAAGACAGAUAAUUGACAAAUAUAAGGUAGAAUGAAUUAUAAAGUUGUAUAGCCCUAAUAGGGCCGACAGAAUUGUAGACUAUAAUAAAUUUAACCAUAUCGACCAUUUGUGGCCUUAAUUAAAGGGACACUAUAGUCACCAGAACAACUACAGCUUAUUGAAUUUGUUCUGGUUUGUAGAAUCAUCACCUUCAGGCUUUUUGCUGUAAACACUGCCUUUUCAGAGAAAAUGCAGUGUUUACAUUACAGCCUAGUGAUAACUUCACUGGCCACUCCUCAGAUAGCUGUUAGAGAUCCUUCCUGGGUCCUAUGGGGAAGCAUUGUGAUUGGAUCAGGCUACCACUUCUGAUGAUGUCAGCCGACUGCUCGUUUUUCUGAGUCUAACAGCAUGCACAGUUACAGCUUCAGGCUUGAAUAUAGUAAGAUUUUUACUAUAUUUAUGGAGGCUUGAGGGGCCCCGGGGGGGCUAGAUGGUAGUUUUAACACUAUAGGGUCAGGAAUACAUGUUUGUGUUCCUGACCCUAUAGUGAUCCUUUAACUAGAAGGCAGACAUAAUAUGUGAUACUAACCACCAGCAAGGCAUAUUAAUUAGUGUGAACAUAAUCAGGCCAAAUGUUGUCCUGCAAAAUCUUAGAUUUAAAAGUAGCCUAAAAAAGAACUUAAGUUAUUUUGAAAUCACAUGUUUAACAGAGCGGCUAAACGAUUUUACAGAUUAGCUGAAAGAGGGCUCAAUGACUGCUACAGAGCUGUCGAACAAGGGCUAAUAUUAACAAUGUGGUCAAACAAGGGACGAAUGCUUAAUACCGAUUGGCCAAACGAGAGUCGAGUGCCUGCUGCAGAGCAGCUGAAUUAGGCUCAAAAUUUAGAGUGUUAAACACAGCUGGUCUCCGAUAGAGUUGCUAGCUGAAUGGGAUCAUUGGUCGAAAGAGUGUUCGUCCGAACGUGCGGAACGGGCUAGACGAAUGUGCUGGGCCUAACGUCGAGAACUUGGCAACACCAUCAGGCGACGGCAUUAUAGAAGGUGCUGAUUUUCUGAUUAGAACCUGAGGGUUGAGUUGAGGGUCCACUGCAAAAUCGGUUUUAAAUGAAGAGGUUGUGCAUAGUUGUCAGUUUCAGAUUGCUGCAGACAGAGCAGGCAUUUCACAGUGGAAUGAGGUUUAUUUGGUUUCUGGUAGGCUUAGUGUGAGCAGAGGAGGUGAAGUGCACUGGGUUGGGAGAGACAUCACCAACUGUUAGAAGAAGUAGGAGAAACAAUGACAGGAGAUGAGAGUGGGUUUUAUAUGGAUGAGUCUAGGAUGAGAUUGUUUGGCAGUAGUAGAGAAAGAGUGCAGGGCAUGAGAUGAGUGAAGGGGACAGUGUAGCAGAUAGGGGGAAGUAUGGAGGCUGAGGGAAGUAGGGAUAAGGAGUGAUCAUAGGGGUGGGGGAGGUAAAAUUUUAAUCAUAAGGGUGGGGGAGGUAAAAGAAGAGGAGGAGAUGAGAGACAAUUGCUCAGAUAAGUGGACUUGGAGAUGGGGAAGUAGGACAAGAGUAGUGAGGAGAGGAGAUGCAGUGGUGUGCAAUGUUUGAGGAAAUAAAGGAUAUAGAAUUAAUUUGGAUAUAUGCAAACAAAUUCAUAUUUACACACACAGACCCGUACACAAACAUACUAUUUUUUUUUUUUUUUUAAAUGAGGUCCACCCUGCCUCCUUUUUUUUACCUUGAGAAGAGCUGGAGUGGAACAUCAUCCCUGAAGUCCUGGGAAUGUCUUCAGUGACUGCCCACCUCCCAGCAGCUUGGUACUGAUGCAGGGCUGGAGGUGGCAUCACGGCUCCAGCAUCAGUGCAUGAGGGAGCUUGCUAUUCAGUGCAGGUAGAUCCCAAUAGCUCCCUCAUGGCACCACACUAAAUUCCCAUUCAACAGCUGAUACAUGCCACGGUACCCCCCCUGCUUUAGGGGGAGGGAGGAGGUACUCUGUUUUUCCCAGCAAACAAAUGUGACUCCAAGUACCAGUUUAUAAUUCAAAAUGGAUACCAGUUUAUUUCUUCAAAAAAUGUAAGCAAAUUUGCACAGUAACAUUUUUUUUUUUUUAUAGCGCCUCAAAAGGAGUCACCAACUACUGCGUAUCUACGACACUCUCCUAAUCCAUUGCAAAAGUAAAUCAGGUCCUAUGACAGUUAAGAGAGAAAAAAGCAAUUUAUACUGACGGAUCUCUGCUUGCUUUAAUUGGGGCAUAAUUUCUAGUGACAUCAGACGGAUGGCUUUUGAUUACUGAAGCUCAAGAGGGACAAAUUUCAUUAUCAGUGAACAAUAGGCCUCUGUUUUGGAGAAACAGUGAUACAAUAGAGUCUCUGCAAUCUCCUCAACAGAAAUAGAUAAUGUUUCAAAUGUGUCCAAGAUUUAGUAUUAUAUACAGGUUCAGAGUGACUGAGGCUUCUAAUAAAUUAUCCGUUAUUCUAAUUAGUUUACAGUAAAAAAAACAAUUUUGGACAAAUCUCCAUGUUUUAAAAUGGAAAAGAGGAAUAAUUUAAAGUCGGAAUCUCUUGCAGUUUAAACUUUAAGAGAUUCAGUUAAAAAAGAGUGAGUCACGGGCAGUUGAAAAUGUAGAUACUUGAUUUAGGUACUCGAGUAUUAGCUAUAUAAUGCAGUUUGUUCUAUAUGAAUUGUUUCUGCUUCAGACAAAUUUAACAUGGAUUCCUUUAUUUAUUGGUUGCUCAGCAUGUCCAAAGUUGCACAGUGGCAUACACAAAGUUGCAUAGUGAAGUAGACAUAGUUGCCACAAUCUCUGACAAGAUUAUAAAUUACCCUUACUUAUUAAAAAAAUGAAUUGAUAUACUCAGCGAACUAAUAAUAGCAACACUAGUAGUUUAUUAGCUUAUUAAACUCUCACCACUGCAUUUUGUUUUAUCUUGAACACAGCAGUCGGGUGUAUAAUAGACAAAUACCCCUGUGCAGCUACCUUUAAUUGUUAUUUACAGCAAUUUCACUAAAUUAUUAUGAAUGAAACUGUUGGCAAGUGCAGAACUUCAUUUUUCAUAAACUGAUGCACACUAAGGGUUUACAGGAUAUUGAUAUGAGAGCUAACUACCAAAGCUAAAAAAAACAAAGAGCAUUUUAAUGCAUUAUGUGUAAAAUACAUAGUUCAUAUUAUAUUAGGAACACAAUUUAAUCCAUAAUAUAGAUAUAUUAUGAAAUAUAUAUAUAUAUAUAUAUAUAUAUAAAUAUAUAUAUAUAUAUAUAUAUAUAUAUAGUGUAGAUUGGAUUAGCCGUGUAAGUCCAAUAGACAAGAUGCCAAAAUACCAGAGUAUUGCAGUAUGCAAUUAUACCUUUUUUAUUGGACUAACAUAAUAUUUCAAAGACAAGCUUUCAAAGACAGACUGAUCAGUAUUGCUUCAGACCUGAGGAAGAGAGGAAAACUAUUGAAAGAUGGUAUGGGACACAGGGAGAGGAGGGGGGAAAAAUAAAGGGUAUGGUACACCUGGAGGGGAGGGGGGAGAAAUGGGGUGUAUGGUACACCUGGAGGGGAGGGGGGAGAAAUGGAGGGUAUGGGACACCUGGAGGGGAGAGGGAAGAGGGGAAUGAGGGAGAAAUGGUACACAGGGAGGGGAGGGGGGAGAGAGGUAACAAUGGGACACAGGGAGGGGAGAGGGAGAGAAAGAACAAUGUCUCAGGGGGAGGGGAAGAGAAAGAACAAUUGGACACAGGGAGGGGAUGGGGAAGAGAGGGAACAAUGGGACACAAGGAGGCAAAGAGGUAGGGCAUGGGACACACAGAGGGGAGGGAGGAAAAUGGAGGGUAUGGGACACAGCGAUGGGAGGGGGAGUGAUGGAGGGUAUGGGACACAGGGAGAGAAGGGGGAGAGAGGGAGGAAUGGGACACAGGGACAGGAGGGUGGAGAGAUGGAACAAUGGGACACAUGAAGGGGAGAGAGGGAGGGUAUGGGACACAGGGAGGGGAGGGGAGAGAUGGGGGGUAUGGGACACAGGGAGGGGAGGGGGUAGAGAGGAAGAAAUGGGACACCGGAAGGGGAGGGUGAGAGAAGGAACAAUGGGACGCAUGGAGGGGAGGGGGAGAGAGGGAGGGCAUGGGACACAUAGAGAGAAGGGGGGAGAGAUGGAAGGUAUGGGACACAGGGAGAGAUGAAGGAGAAAUGGGACACAUGGAGGGGCUGGGGGCAUGGGCGUCCGCAGGAAUUUUUCCAGGGGGGGGGGGCAUAAUUGUAAUGACAUCCAUGCUUGGUACCUUUUUGACAGUGUCAUGAAAGGGAAGGGGCAUAGCCAUUAUCACAUAAAGCCAGGGUGAAUAGCGUUUUCACAACUAUGGUGUCAGGAAUAUAUGUUUGUAUUACUGACACUAUAGUGUUCCUUUAAGCAAAUUAAAGGACAUUUCUGGUCACCAUAACAACUUCACCUAAAUGAGAAUGCUAUGAUGCCAGGAAGCCCCUGUGUGCUCGCUUUCCUUUAAGGGGUUAAAUCGCUCUCAAAUGGUUUAACCCCAAAGGCUUCCUCCAGCUCCAGGUCGCUCAGUGGUAUUUGGCUUCUGAAACAGAGUGUCAGGAAGUGCAGAUUGACGUCAGGCAUGGGUGCCGCUGACUGGCUAGAGUGGUCAGUUGACGCUCUAAGCCAAUCGCUAGUUCCCGGUUCAUAAAAUAUUUUUACUUUUUUAUGAAUGGGGAGCUACUGAUUGGCUUAGAGUGCCAGCUGACCGCUCUAGCCAAUCAGCAACACCCCUACCCAACGGCACUCUGUGCUUCCUGACACUCAGUAAAUAAAAGUGAACACAUUAACACCAAUAUUUUUUUACCUUUGGAGAUGAGAAGGUCCAGCGUUUCCCUGCCAGGCCCAGGUACCAAAGCCUUAUGAUGUGGUGUCCAGAAUAAAGUGGAGGGUUCACUUCAUUUGUCCUUCCUGCUCCAAUCUCCUUUUCCUCUCCUUCAUUUGACAGUCUUUUUUUUUCUUCUGACACUGUUUUCUAUCCUUGGCCCCUUCUGCUCUUUUACCUUUCUGCUCCUUUCUGCUUAUUUUGCGCCCUUCUGCUCCUUUCUCAUUCUGAUCCCUUUCUGCCUCCUUUUCUACUUUACCUUUGUGCUCCUUGCUGUCCCUCUCUGCUCUUUCUCCUACUUUACCUUUGUGCUCCUUCUGAUUAUUUCUGCUCCUUUACCUUUGUGCUCCUUGCUGUCCCUUUGUGCUCCUUGCUGUCUCUUUCUGCUCCUUGCUGUCCCUUUCUGCUCCUUGCAGGCCCUUCCUGCUCAUUCUCCUACUUUAUGUUUGUGCUCCUUCUGCCCCUUCCAGCUCAUUUCUGACCCUUUCUGCUCCUUCUACUUUACCUUUGUGCUGCUUUACCUUCCAGCUCCUUGCUGACCCUUCCUGUUCAUUUCUAUAUAUCUAUAGGCUGCUGCCCCACCCAAAUCUAUGGGCUGCUGCCCCCCUCUCCAAAUCUAUGGGCUGCUGCCCCCAAAUCUAUGGGCUGCUGCCCCCCCCCAAAUCUAAAGGCUGCUGCCCCCAAUCUAAAGGCUGCUGCCCCCAAAUCUAUGGGCUGCUGCCCCCUCCCCACAUCUAUGGGCUGCUGCCCCCAAGUCUAUCUGCUGCUGCCCCCCUCUCAAACCCUCCCCCCCAUCCCCCACUUACCUGAUCUGUAGGCUGUCUCUGGCUGCAUGUGUUGCUCCCCUGUUUCAAUCAGCAGAGAGAAACAGGGAUAAGAUGCAGCUUCCUAACCCUGUCUCUCUCCAUACACAGCGCCACCUACUGGCCGGCGCCGGUAUUGCAGUUCAUUUUAAAUCUCACACAAAAUAGCAGAACACGCUGAAAAAUCCAGGGAGGGGCAAGUGCCCCCCCUUACCCCCCCCUGCGGACGCCCAUGGCUGGGGGUGAGGAAGGUAUGAGAAACAUGGAGGUGCUAAGGGGAGAGGGAAUGUGACACAUGAAGGGGCUGGAUGAGGAGGAGCCUAUGGGACACAUGGAGGGGCUGAGGGUGGAGAGGGAAUGGGGCACCGGGGCCCAGUGGAUUCUAGUUACACCUCUGACUUCACUAUAAGCAGUGUCAUUAGCAUGUGAUUAACAACAGUUGCAGUUUGGCUAAUGUCAAUUCUGUACAAAUUCUUUACACGAAGGGUCAUUCAUUGCCAAGUUGACACUCUCAGCCAAUGAAUGACCAACAGAGAGCUGUGUAUAUUCUGUGCAUAGAGUGUCUUUCAUUGGCUGAAAAUGUCAAGCUAAUGCUUUUGGCCAAUGAAUGACCAGGAAUAUGAGCAUUCCAGAAGGCUCAGCGCCCAGUGGACUCACAUGUAAGAGAGCAAACCAUUCCAAACCAAUAUACCCUAUUACCAUGGAAUGGGACCAGAGUGCUCCUAGCACCAUAACCACUAAUGCAGGCUGAAGUAGUUAUGAUGCUUGGAGUAAGCCUUUAAUGGAUGCAUCUCAAGAAGCCUAGGACCUAACUAUGCCUGCGGACCCAGAUUGUAAUCAGUCUUUUGGUUCUUUAUAGCACCUCUCCUCUUUAUGACAAAUUCUCCUUUUUCUACCACUAGGUUAAUAGAUAAAAUCGAUGAUAUCAUAGAAAGCAGUGCCGAAAAUGCUUAGUUAGCAGCAUGUCUAUGAGAAACAGUACCAACACUGCCAACUCCUGUGCAUUAGGACUUGCUGCGCUGUCUACAGAUACAUUGCAACAUUCAAGAUUAUUUUUACAAAUUAAAUCUAAAUAGAAAAAGGGAGAAAAAUGGCUGACCUCCAAUUCAGUUAGUCACAGCUAGGCUAUUUUAGCCUCAGUUUUGCCAUUUGGAUUUAAUUUGCGAAAUUUCAGAGUUUAGUGAAUAAGCCUGAAAAUGUGUCUGUAAUUACAUAAAUCAUAAAUCAAAAUUGCAAUUAAAUAAAAACAAUUAAAUAAAACAUAGUUGGUCAAAGAGUACCUUUCAAAACUGACUUAAAAGACCACUAUGGGCACUCAUAUUACUUCAUCUCUAUAUAGUGGUCUGGGUCCUUUUAGCCCUGCAAUGUAAAAUAUUGGGGUUUUGUAGAUAUGCCAAUCUUUAAUUGCAAGGCUAACUGCCUUACUGACAGCAUUAGAAGGUGCUUCCGUUGCUAUAACUCGGUCAGACUCGGUUAUGUGAUGUUCUUCAUCCUCACACAUUGCAUGAAUGACCUCAAAUGCUUAUCAUUGGGAAGUAUUGAAUUCAAUGCUCCCCUAUGAAGCCCAUUUUAAUGACUGAGGUCUGUGGAGGAUCCUGUGAUACCAUGGGAUCCUUCACAGAUAAUGAGUGCUUCCUUGUAGCGGUCACUAGUUAUGACUGGGGAGAAUGACAAAACUUGACUGCAGUAGUUCUGCCUUUUGUCAAGUUUUGUCAAGUGCAGGAAAUAUAUUAAGACAAAGUAGUCCCUACUUUCUCUCAGUAUAUUGUGUGACUGUGUUGGAAUUUCAGUGAAAUUUCAACACAAUGUGAGUAUUUCACAUGAUUUAGAGUACAGCUAUUAUAUCUCUGCAGCCAUGAUGGUGACUGCUGGGAGAUUGACAUUUCAAGAUGGCGGUAGCUCCACCCAGUGUCAAGAAGUGUCAGGCAUGGGAAAUAUAAUGACACAAACUAGUCCCUACUUUAACUCAGUAUAUAUUUUAACUGAAAUUUCCCGAAAUUCCAGCACAGUCAGUGUGAGUAUUUCUUAAAGAUUUUAUAUUUGUGAAAUGCUCAGUUUGUGGUGGUGUGUGUGGGGGGAGGAGAGGGUGGUUAACAGUGCCACUCUAACUGUUCUUUCAGAAGAUAAAACAUAUCAUUAUUAUUUCUAGAUUUUAAAGCCCCAGUUUUACCAAAAUUUGUUUUACUGCUCAUUGUUUUUAUAAGCAGGAAACCAAUCUGUAUUCAGUAAUGGCUGACAAAUGUGGCAGGCUUUGUUGUGUUUCCCAGUAUGUUUUGUUUUGAUAUUCUGGGUCAAACUAUCUUGAAGUCUCGUUAAAUCCUUGGGAUAUUGUGAUAUUCUCCAUUUUAACAGUAGGAAUAAUAUCACUUGCUACAUAUGUAUCAGGGGAUCUCUCAGAACAAUAACAGUGCAUUCAUUUCCUGGCACUGCCAUCUGCUGUGUGUUUGUAUCUAACAAAACAAAUGUCUCCCAUACCCUCAGUGAACUGAUUUCCAUUCUUAUGUUGUGUAACUGUGUCGAUGCCAGGCUAAUAAUGGCAUUGUAAUGAUAGUCUUGGAAUCAAACCCUUGGGAUUCUCUAGUACCUAUUUAGUAUUUUUAAUAUAGUGUAAACACAACAAUAGUUAAUCUAUUUUUACCAUGGAUAAUAUUGUAGCUCAAUGUGCAGUUUUGCAACAAGGUGUUCUUUUUAUAUUUGGGGUAUUGCAGAUAUUGUAUCAGAAGGCAUUAAGAAGGACAAUGCUUGUUAAUUCUUGCAAACAAUUAUAGUCUGUCCGAGAAGGUUUUCAAUGCAUGAUGUCAAAUCUUAGUCUAAACACGUAAACAUAGUCAAUAUAAACCAGAUUAAUUUCUCCAGCAGGACAUUCUAAUCCAGACAUUGACAAAGCCUGGAAAAGAUACGUAACUAGAAGUAGGUCACUACGAUUCCUAGGUUAUUGAGUUCUACAUGUUCACUAGGUCCGUAUUAAUCUAGACUAAGAGGGAGACAAAUGGCUUGGAGGUAUAAAAAGACUGGUGGCAGGGAGAUUGCAUAAUUUGUAGAAACUGGAGCAUGGGGGAACAUCAUCAAUAAAAUGAAAUACAUAUUUUGUAAUUGUGAGUUUUCCAUAGAUGCAUUGAUUAAAAUAUUGCUAAAACAAUAUCAUCUCACUAAAGGGGAUGGAUCCAUGUCUUGAAGAAGGACAAUACUAAACUAUAAAUAGUUAUAAACUGUUACAAAGUCUCAAGUAACCUAGACACAUUGACUGAAUGAUGUCAGGAAGUUCCACACAAGCAUACCAACACACAAACACAAACAAACUAUAUACUGGAAUUUGCGCCAUAUGUCUGUUCAACCGUAAUUCACCACUGUCACAUUAAGUGCACCCACACUUAUUAUAUAUCAUUUUGUUCAGGAGAAACAGGGCUUUAAAUUAUCAUUAACUAUUCAUAUAUGGAACAUAAUUUAUUAUGAAUAAAAUUUAAUAAAAUGUGAUAAAAUAAGAUUAUUUUUUUUUUAAAUUUGCAUUAACAUCUGACAUUUUAGCUGUAAAUGUCAUAAUACUGUUAGGUUUUACUGCAAAAACAUGCACAUAUUUGUAAUCAGCAAUGUCUCACAAGUACAACAGUACCCCCCAUUAACAGGUUUUAUGGUGUUUUUGAAAGUUACAGGGUGAAAUAUAGAACGUUCCAUUUUCAAAUUGAAAUUUGCCAGAUUAGUAAUGUUACCUUUGAGACGGUGUGGUAGCCCAGGAAUGAGAAUUACCCUCAUAAUGGCAUACCAUUUGAAAAAGUCGACAACCCAAGAUAUUGAAAGUGGGGUAUGUUUAGUCUUUUUUAGUAGCCACUUAGUCACAAACACUGGCCAAAGUUAGCGUUCAUAUUUGUUUUUGUGUGAAAAAAGCAAAAAACUAAUAUUUGGCCAGUGUUUGUGACUAAGUGGCUACUAAGAAAGACUGGACAUACCCCACUUGCAAUACCUUGGGUUGUCUACUUUUGCAAAUGGUAUGCCAUCAUGGGGGUAAUUCUCAUUCCUGGGCUACCAUACGCUCUCAAAGGCAACAUAACCAAUCUGGCAAAUUUCAAUGUCAAAAAAAUGAAAUGCAAGCCUUAUAUGUGACUCUCUAACUUUCCAAAACACCAUAAAACCUGUACAUGGGGGGUACUGUUAUUCUCGGGAGACUUCACUAAACACAAAUAUUAGUGUUUUAAAACAGUAAAACAUAUUACAACAAUAAUAUAGUCCAUAAAAGUGCAGUUCGUUUGUAAAAAAUGCAAAAAACUUCACUUUUACUUAAAAUAUCAUCAUUGUAAUACAAUUUACCAGUUUGAAACACUAAUAUUUGAGUUCAGCGAAGUCUCCUGAGUAAAACAAUACCCCCUAUGUACAGGUUUUAUGGUGUCUUGGAGAGUUACAGGGUCAAAUAUAGUGCUUGCGAAUUAAAUUCUCUGCACUUUCUCCCUGUGUUGUCAGGCAUGUCAAUCAAAUUUGUAUUAAUCAAAUCACAUAAUUAUGUUAAAAGAUUACUUAAAUAUACAUGUAGAAUUUUAAUAUAUAUGCAUUUAUAGGUAUUUAAAUUCUAUGUGUAUACCAAUGUCAUCUUUUAUGUAAUUAUAUGUAUUUAUCUAUAUAUAUAUUUGCGGUUAUUUGUAUUUGAUAUAUAGAUAGAUAUAUAUAGAAUGUCAUUCUAAGUGUAUUUUGUUACCAAUAUAUAUAUAUAUUAAUAACAAAAUACAGUUAGAAUGAAAUUACAUAUGAAUAUAUAAUUUAUAUUAAAUUUUGUUUCAAUAUUUUAUUUAUUUAUUUUAUUAUUUUAUUUAUUUAUUAUUGUAAUUAUAUGUAUAUAUAUAAUAUAUGUGUAUAUAUCUAUUAUAUGUUACGUCAUUCUAAGUAUAUUUUAAUAAUAAUAUAUGUACUUAUAUUAAUAUUAAAAUACACUUUGUAUGACGUUACAUAUAUAUAAUAUGUAUAUAUAUUAUAUGUAUAAUAUAUAUACAUAUAUUAUAUAUAUAUAUACAUACAUUUCUAUUUUAUUUUAUAACGUUUUAUUAUUUAUUUAUUUUUUAGUUUCCCACCAGCAGGGGGAUUGUCUGACAUUUUAGACAGUUCCCCUGCUGGCAGAUCCACAGCCAGCUAUAGGGGGCCAUGUGAUCGCUCUUUGAAAGCGAUCACAUGGCCCCCGGGGGACUCAUUUGCCGGGGGAGGGCUGCCUGGGCUGUCAGGCAGCCCUCCAGAAGAGGAUCGCGGCGGAGGUAAGUGCACCGGACCUCCAGGGGCUCAAAGCCGUUACGGCGCUCUAUGCCGCCGCAGCGGCUUUAAAGCCCUUUUAAUGCGGGACGGCAUUGAACACCGUAACGGCGUUAAGGGGUUAAAAAUGGGUCAUUCUGAGAGCUUAGUCAAUUCAAGCGUGAUACUGUGAUGUAAUGACACUUGUGCAAUAAGUCAGUUUGUGAAAUUUCAGCUCUGCUAGAUAUUUGACUGUCAUGAAUAUGAAGUGCUACGCUCCUUUUAUCUACUACCCUACCCUUAUGCACUAGACUGCAUAAACCAUUAACCACUACACUAACACUGUCACUAAACGUUAACCUUAUUCUGCACUAAAUGUAACAUAUAAGAUAUCGUCUAAUAUAGAACAUGUAUUAUGAGAUAAUAGUGCCAUCUCAGGGUCCUGGAGAACUAUGGUCUUGUGGUUUAUUAUGAUGUCUCGGAGUGAAAAUUCUUUUCCCAUAAUGCACAUUUUCACUUUUAUGCUUAUUCUGUUUCACUCCCAUAGUACAUAGUACAUGGUUUAACGUAUUUAUACCUUAAACCAGCAAACGUAAUGUAGUGUAAAACCACAGUAUAAAGAUGGGCAGAGGAUCAAGCAGCCUGGACGCACAUGUUGUAUGUUCCUUUGUCAUGUGGAUUUUCCAAGGUUAAGGGGAGAUGUGCAAUUGGAUAUUAGUGCAUACAUGUACAUCAUUAUCCACACCAGUUAUGCCAAGGAAAGCGACUUGAGCUAGGGAUUAGCUGAGAGACUGCAGACACUUCUUAGAUGAUUGUUUUAUGUAUUACCCCUAUUAUUUGUGUGCAGGGGCUAUUUACUAGAGUGUGAAUUUAUGUUAAUUCAAACUUAAUUUAAAAUUUUAGGUUCAUACCAACAGAUUUGUGGUGGGGAAAAAAGUGUGGAUGAAAACUUCUUCCACCUGAAGUAAGUGGAAAGUUAAUACAUUGCUAAACACAAAUACACACACCAAGCAUGCCAUAAGACUUGUUUUUCCCACAUAAAUCUCACUUUAACAGUGCUCUCACUACUGCAAGGGGUUCUGGAUAGGCAUAUGCAAAUGAGUUUAACAAAGAAUUCCACUUUAUACAUGGAUUGCUUAGAGUAUGUGUCUGCUGUAUACAACAACUUUGAAACACAACUCAGGAAGAGGAGCAAAGCCAAUGAACCACUCAUAGACAGCUGUUUUGUUAAUGCAACUCAUCAGCAUGAGGUUGGUUACUGGCUUGCUAUGGAGGCUUGGCGUUACUUGUAAAGUACAUACCAACAAAGUUGUGGUGGGGAAAAAAGUGUGGAUGAAAACCCCUUCCACCUGAAUUAAGUGGAUAGUUAAUACAUUGCUAAACUCAAAUACACACACCAGGCAAACCAUUAGACUUGCUUUUCCCACAGAAAUCUCACCUUAACAGUGCUCUCACUACGGCAAGGGAUUCUGGGUAGGCAUAUGCAAAUGAGCUUAACAAAGAACCACAUUUAAAUUUUAGGUCAAAAUAGCUAAACUGAAAACAGCAGACUUUUGUUUUGAACGGACAACAAUUGACACUUGAGUGUGUUGAAUCCAACCGAGAUUGUCCUUUCAUAUGUCUCUUUAACAUUGUAAAUGGUGAUAAACUCUGCAUUCAGGGGAAGCGUAGUAUAUACUGCCAAGUGGAAUCUACGCUGAGUGGUUAAACUCUACACAGUAUAAAUGGUCAUGUCAGUACUGAAAAGACAGACAGUUGAUAUUUUUGAGGUGAUGGGAGAAGAGAAGUACCCUCCUUAUCAUGGUCCUUAGGGAUUCCUUGUCACUUGGAUACUUAAGCUGAGAGCUGUUCCACUUAUCUGCACUGCUACAUGGGAUGAUGCACAGAUCUCAGGCAGUUAGAAGAUGCAAGUAAAUCACAGGAAAAAAAACCAUCUUAUUGAAAGCUGUCCCUUGUUGUGGCUGUGUUCUGCUCUCUUACACUGUAAUGUACAAUAUCACUCCAGGCACAGUGAAGAGAGGGGCAAGUUUAACUCUUUAUUGUCAGGAAAAUGUUUUGUGGUUUUUUUUUCCAGCACUGGACUGGGUGAACAUGGAUAGUACUAUUGGCACAGAACUACAUCUCCCAUGUUCUACAAUCUGCAGAUUUAUGUAACAUUGAUUUAUUUUAAAUUCUCUAGUAUCUCCUAUCGUGUCCACUUUGAACCACUCCAAAGAUGGACCAGGGUGAAAUUAGCAGAUGUAGGCGAUGGGUAUUCACAGAUGAGCUAUCACUUUCAAUCAGCUCAGAGCCAGAGGUGCCUGGGCAUGAUAGGAGUUAGAGACUCAGAACAGCUAAAAAUUGUCAUCCCAACACAGGUAUUAUGGAUUAGUGAAUACACUCACCUAUAUACAUUUUAUUGGUCAUGUUUUAAACACAUAAAAUAGUUCAUUCACUAAAGAAUGAAUUAUGAUGAGCUGAAAGUUAAAUUGACAAAAUCUAUCUGAAUAAUUUUAUAGAAGGAUAUUUAACAGAGAGAGCACACUAUAAGUAAAGCAGAAAACAACUCAAACCAAAAUAAUGAAGAGACAGGGUGCUCACUAUAUGCCUCUGUUCUCAUUGGAGUCUGUAAAUACAACCCAUAGAGAAUGAAUAAGGAGCACACCCCAUGAAAAGUAACACAAUUUGUAUUAGAUUAAUCUAUAUCCAUACAUGAAUGUACAUCUGGAUAAAUAAAAAAGAGUGAUACACUAUACAUAAAUUAAAAUCAUAACAUAUAUACAAUGAAAACAAAAUAAAUCCAAAGAAAGAAGCACAAAACCAAUAAAAAUUAAUCAUGAAAAAAAAUAUGACAAUAUAGGUGUCUGGAUUCAUACCAAAUGAAAGACCAGAUAACACAAGAAAACAGUGUGAGAGGCGAGGGAUAACAGAGGGGGAAAAAAUAAAAGACUGCAAUCCCAAUGUUGUGGCAAAACUGCCCUUUUCAAGGGAGCAUGAAUAAUUUAGAAAAUCAAAGGUUUCCAGCAGGUGUGUUGACUUAAAUGUGACAGUUUUGGUUUUCAGGUCAUCUCAAUUCACUGUUUAGAGAAUAAACGUCUUUCUAAACAGAUCUUGUGAUCAACCAGCUGUUUUGAAGUAUAUAGAACAUAGUGCAUUUGUUACGAGAGCAUGCUCGAAUCAGGCAUCCGUGCCCUAUGUACCACAUGUUGAGUGCUGCUUUACUCAGACUAAUUGUCGCCACAAUUUUUUACUAGAAGUGCAUGGAUUCAUUCAUAUUCCAAAAGGAAAACUGAAAGGCAGCUUCAAGGCAGGAUCUGUGAGCUGAAUAGGAAAAUGAAACAGAGAUAUGUUUGUCAAGCUGCAUUAGUUUGUCAUUUCCUUUGCUGUCUGUCUGUCUAUCUGUCUGUCCGUCUGUCCGUCCGUCUCUGUCUGUGUUCUUUCUGCCUCUUCUCAAUAUCAAGUCCCACGUACGUGUAUUCCAUAGUACUUUUACUUUUAUGUCUUCGCUUUCUUAGUUUAAUGGCAAGAAUCAGAUUGCACCAUCCGGUGCUUAAAAUCAGGUGCUGCCUCCUCCAUUCUGUAUUCAAAUAUAAAAUACCUGGCCCAUAAAAGUCAGUAUGCAGACUUUGUCAGCAAAUCUUGACAGGGGAUGAGUUUGAAACAUAUCGUGUCUGUUGGUGUUACAUUUUCUAUAUUGACCUUUUAUGUGCCAUGCACAUUUACAGUUAUCUCUAAAAUGUUCUUUUUCAAAGUGUCCAUUUGAUGCAUCACAACUCUAUUCUUGAAAUAACCUGUUCUCCCUGAUCCCAGUCAUCAUUGGUUAAAGGUGCCCAUGCUCUUCUUUAGGAAUUAGAAAAAACCUCCUGCAUUGUUGUAGAUUUGUGUUUCUCUUUCUGUGCAUGGUCCCAUAUCCCAGGGAGCAAUUUUUUUAAAAAGAAAUUAUCUCCUCUAAGGAAUUCUCCUUUGUGCUUGGUGUCUAGUAGGGACAUUAUUUCUGUUGUUUUUUUUGUUGCAACAUCGGCAGUAAGUAAACCCCUACUUCCGGAAUGCCAUACAGAGCAGGAAUAGCCAUAACUUUAGAUGGCUUACUACAUCACAGCGGUUAGACUGGAACAUACAUUUGUUUGGACCCAUCCACCAUCCCUAUGUGAAGAAUGAAGGGCAAGGGAACCAAACAGAUGUCUUACCUAGGGCCCUGUGGGAUCGUAAUCCUUCUCUGGAGCCAAAUCCCAACCUAAAAUGAUGAAUCAGAGGUAAGGGCUCUAAAAGAAGCCCAUUAUUGCCUGCCCAAAGCAACCAGGACUAUAUAGGUCUGGUUGUAACUAACAGAAGGAAGAAGAAAAGGUACAUCUGUUCAAUCUUUAACCCCUUAAGGACACAUGACAUGUGUGACAUGUCAUGAUUCCCUUUUAUUCCAGAAGUUUGGUCCUUAAGGGGUUAAGCGGCCAAGUGGAGGGGGAGAUGGUCAUAUCCUUUGCAUGAUUGAGGCAUCGGCAGCUACAGAGGGUGAUAUAGUUUUGGUUUAAAAAGUGUUAAUACAAUAUUUGAUCUUUGUUAAAAAUAUAACCAGCUACUAAUUAGCUAUUAAACUAUGUAUCUGAUGAUAAACUGUACAGCUAGUGAGACUUGUACGUAAAAAGUGUCCCUCUUAAAGGUAUACUCUAAGCAUCUAUACAACUUAAUGAAGCAGUUUUGAUCUAUAGAUCAUGCCCUUGCAGUCUACCUGCCAUGUAGGAAUUAAAUCAGUUUUGUUUCUGUUUAUGCUGUCCCAGCCAUACCUCACUGGUUAAGACUCGCACAACUUCUGCGAACAAAUUUUUUUUUAAUCAUGUGAUUUUUCUCUAGCAGGCUGUUAACAGAGCAGGGGAUUUCUAAAUAAUCACACUGUCCAUUAAAUUAAAUUUAGAAAUGAAAUCUCUCUUUACAAGAACUGUGUAAUUCACAGUCAGGGGAACAGUGGCCAUGGCUGCAUAAACAGAGGAAGUUAAAUAAAGCCAACUACUACAGUCUAAGCACCAAAACACCUUUAGCUUAAUUAAGUGGUUUUGGUGUAUAGAUCAUGGACUUGAAGUCUCACUGCUAAAUCACCUGCCAUUUAGAAGUUAAAUCUCUUUGUUUAUGCAACAUUGUUUUGGUGCUUAGACUGUCCUUGUAGAAAACAAACCACUGGUGUUCCAGUAGUUAAACUCCAAGAAAACAUGUCUUAUUUGCGCAGGGGUUAAAAAUAAAUAAAGAGAAAUCCAAGAUCGAGACUGAGUAAAGUGCCUUACAAGAACAAAUGCAAGUUUUGGACCAAUACUUUGGUCUAUAUGUUUCCUUAUGAAAACGUUAUCAAAAUGUAUCCCUUUUCAUUUUCUAGUUUUGUAGACUAGUCUUAUAAGCUACUAGCCACUGGAACCCUGGAGGGUUCAUUGUACAAGGAAUUUCUGCUCGACGGGGGUAGUGGCCAGUAAAACAUUUUCAGCCUUGCGUUAGUGUACCCCUUUAAGCCAUCUGAAAUGACUGCCUUUAAACAAUAUCUCUGCUGUCUAUUAUUCUCUCUAUAGAUCUUCAUAAUUCAUCAAUCCAUAAAGCAAUUCAAAGACUAAGACCCACACACCAUAUGCCUUUAACUUCUAUUCACUUUAGCAUUGAACCUAAAGUCAUUGAACAACUGAUCUGUGCAUGUUACAUGCACUUUGAGUCAUCCAGACAUUAUGUGCAUGAAAUUGUUUAUUUACUGUUGAAUUCCCUUGUCACCUGGCUAUGCAAUAUUUUUUUUAUUGAUACGAACAACCAAUCUUUAUAAUUGAAUGUUCCAAGAUGCAUGUACUCAUGCCAAACUAUCCUGACUCACUGGAUUAAUUCAUUAAACCUGCAAUGUCAGAGAGCUGGAGUAGCAUCAACAAGUGUCUGAUUCAUAUGUUAGAGCCUGGCCUAACAUAGCCAAUUUUCACAAUUUUCUUCUACUUCAUGCCCUUGCUAUUGUAUACUCACCCCCUACCCCUCCCAUUUUAUCAUAUAUCCAUUUAUAUUUCACUAAUUCCCAAGGAAUAUUAGAUGCACAAUGCUGAGACAAUCUUCAGCGCAUUGUCUAGUUUAGAAUUAAGUGUCAACAUUUCAUACAUACAAAUAAAAACAUAAGACUUAAGACAUAUUUGGUAUUUUUGUUUUACAUUGUGUGUUCAUAAAACAAAUGCAAUUGAAAAGCACAGAAGCAAGAUAUACAGUUAUCUGGGAUAUUUAAUAUCGAUUAAAUUAUGUUUCAGGUGCAUCCUGUUGACAGUCCCAUUUAGUCUUUGUCAAAAGAUGGCACAGGUGACAUCCCAUAAUAUGAUUUGGCAGAUAAAAAGCACACAACAAUGAACAUGGCAGCACGCAGCGAGGAGCCAUGAUGUCCAGAACCAAAACGAUAUUGCUUGAACAUAUCAGUGAAAUUUUAUAAGCAAGGACAGCCUGCAACAACUCUGC
This 23419-nucleotide long non-coding RNA is filed under the name Pelobates cultripes (western spadefoot toad). Lineage: Eukaryota; Metazoa; Chordata; Amphibia; Anura; Pelobatidae. The record is from RNAcentral.